This 99-nucleotide ribosomal RNA is filed under the name Calamus paspalanthus. The record is from RNAcentral. Lineage: Eukaryota; Viridiplantae; Streptophyta; Magnoliopsida; Arecales; Arecaceae.
UGAGAGUAGUACAUCGAUGGGAGACCCCUUGGGAAGUCCUUGUGUUGCACCCAUUGGUGCGAUCAUACCAGCACUAAUGCACCGGAUCCCGUCAGAACU